GAUUAACGCUGGCGGCGUGCAUAACACAUGCAAGUCGAACGAUGAAACUCAUUAGAUUUCUUCGGAAUGAAACUGAAUGGAUUAAUGGCGAACGGGUGAGUAACGCGUGAGUAACCUGCCUUACACAAGGGGAUAGCCUCUGGAAACGGAGAAUAAUACCCUAUGAAACCAGACAAUCGCAUGAUAAUCUGGUCAAAAUGUUUAGUGGUGUAAGAUGGACUUGCGUCUGAUUAGCUAGUUGGUGAGAUAAAAGCUCACCAAGGCAACGAUCAGUAGCCGGCUUGAGAGAGUGUACGGCCACAUUGGGACUGAGACACGGCCCAGACUCCUACGGGAGGCAGCAGUGGGGAAUUUUGCACAAUGGGGGAAACCCUGAUGCAGCGACGCCGCGUGAUUUAGAAGGCCUUCGGGUUGUAAAAAUCUUUUGUAUAGGAAGAAAAUGACAGUACUAUACGAAUAAGGUCCGGCUAAUUACGUG
RNAcentral lists this ribosomal RNA (478 nucleotides) under uncultured bacterium. RNAcentral's name for it is "partial 16S ribosomal RNA". It matches the Rfam family "Bacterial small subunit ribosomal RNA", at positions 28 to 507 of the family's 1533-position model. The record is from RNAcentral.